Molecule: long non-coding RNA, 89 nt
Organism: Sphaeramia orbicularis (orbiculate cardinalfish)
Lineage: Eukaryota; Metazoa; Chordata; Actinopteri; Kurtiformes; Apogonidae
Exons: 3
Source: RefSeq, a predicted model, not a curated record
UAAUGAUACAGGGGUUAUUUUCUUUUGUUCAGACAAAGUAGUAGUAGAGUGAUGUUCUCAUACCUGACAUGAUUAAUCAUGUUCAUUUU